RNAcentral lists this ribosomal RNA (497 nucleotides) under uncultured bacterium. Its description in RNAcentral is "partial 16S ribosomal RNA". It matches the Rfam family "Bacterial small subunit ribosomal RNA", at positions 28 to 507 of the family's 1533-position model. The record is from RNAcentral.
GAUGAACGCUGGCGGCGUGCCUAAUACAUGCAAGUCGAGCGAACAGACGAGGAGCUUGCUCCUCUGACGUUAGCGGCGGACGGGUGAGUAACACGUGGAUAACCUACCUAUAAGACUGGGAUAACUUCGGGAAACCGGAGCUAAUACCGGAUAAUAUAUUGAACCGCAUGGUUCAAUAGUGAAAGACGGUUUUGCUGUCACUUAUAGAUGGAUCCGCGCCGCAUUAGCUAGUUGGUAAGGUAACGGCUUACCAAGGCAACGAUGCGUAGCCGACCUGAGAGGGGGAUCGGCCACACUGGAACUGAGACACGGUCCAGACUCCUACGGGAGGCAGCAGUAGGGAAUCUUCCGCAAUGGGCGAAAGCCUGACGGAGCAACGCCGCGUGAGUGAUGAAGGUCUUCGGAGCGUAAAAAUCUGUUAUUAGGGAAGAACAAAUGUGUAAGUAAAUAUGCACGUCUUGACGGUACCUAAUCAGAAAGCCACGGCUAACUACGUG